AGACUCCUGUGGGUCGGGGCACCCUGGAACGGUGGCUAAUACCGGAUGAGCCGAAAGGUAAAAAAUUUAUUGCCCACAGAUGAGCUCGCGCCUGAUUAGCUAGUUGGUAAGGUAAAAGCGUACCAAGGCGACGAUCAGUAGCUGGUCUGAGAGGAUGAGCAGCCACACUGGGACUGAGACACGGCCCAGACUCCUACGGGAGGCAGCAGUGGGGAAUUUUCCGCAAUGGGCGAAAGCCUGACGGAGCAAGACCGCGUGGGGGAGGAAGGUUUUUGGAUCGUAAACCCCUUUUGUCAAGGAAGAAGUUCUGACGGUACUUGACGAAUAAGCCUCGGCUAACUCCGUGCCAGCAGCCGCGGUAAUACGGAGGAGGUAAGCGUUAUCCGGAAUGAUUGGGCGUAAAGCGUCUGUAGGUGGCCAGCUAAGUCUGCUGUUAAAGAUCACAGCUCAACUGUGGGAAGGCAGUGGAAACUGGCAAGCUAGAGGCUGGUAGGGGUAAAGGGAAUUCCCGGUGUAGCGGCGAAAUGCGUAGAUAUCGGGAAGAACACCGGUGGCGAAAGCGCUUUACUGGGCCAGACCUGACACUGAAGGACGAAAGCUAGGGGAGCGAAAGGGAUUAGAUACCCCCAGUAGUC
This 635-nucleotide ribosomal RNA is filed under the name uncultured cyanobacterium. RNAcentral's name for it is "bacterial SSU rRNA". It matches the Rfam family "Bacterial small subunit ribosomal RNA", at positions 124 to 795 of the family's 1533-position model. The record is from RNAcentral. Lineage: Bacteria; Bacillati; Cyanobacteriota.